This 107-nucleotide transfer RNA is filed under the name Hypoxylon rubiginosum. RNAcentral describes it as "tRNA-Gln". It matches the Rfam family "tRNA". Rfam says of the family: Transfer RNA (tRNA) molecules are approximately 80 nucleotides in length. Their secondary structure includes four short double-helical elements and three loops (D, anti-codon, and T loops). The record is from RNAcentral. Lineage: Eukaryota; Fungi; Ascomycota; Sordariomycetes; Xylariales; Hypoxylaceae.
GGCUUGGAAGUGCAGUGGUAGCACAUUCCAUACUGAGCACUCUGAAGUUAUGGCCAGACGAGACGCUGAGGUUGGAAAGGUCGUGGGUUCAAGUCCCACCUAGGCCU